Long non-coding RNA from Aedes albopictus (Asian tiger mosquito), 1456 nucleotides. RefSeq lists it as uncharacterized. NCBI's taxonomy places the organism in Eukaryota, Metazoa, Arthropoda, Insecta, Diptera, Culicidae. The transcript is spliced from 3 exons. The record is from RefSeq and is a predicted model, not a curated record.
GGUCCCCCUGGCACUGACUGAACUGGAAAAGAAACAACAUCCACAUCAUUGUUCUCAUCAUUCUACCAGACAAAGUAGAAAAGUGAAGGCAGCACAACGGGAACCAUGUCGAAAUACCCAGAAAUAACUGAGUUCGAUCUGCGCGUAGAAUGCGUCUUUUUCUUUAUCAGUACUUCCUGAGAGGGGGCUGUUCACGUUGGUAACCUGGUUCGUCGCUGGGGUCAUUGCCGUUGGACUCGGUUCGUAUUACAUAUUCUAUUUCUGAUUUUCCUUUGCAAUUCUUUUUCACAGCUGGCUUGCAGGACCGGACAUCAACCUCCUUCACAAUGGAGCUUAGAGUCCUUCUCUAGCACUCGGACGUCGAUCAGCCGAACAAUGUGGAUAACAGACGCUGUUCUGUGCCGUUUCGUUUUGAGAGCUCUUCUGAUUAUAUCCAGUGGUACAGGAAGCGGUCUUCUCCGGCGAUGCCAACAUCCCCACCAUCUGGAGGUCCGGCAGUGCCACUUCAAAUGAUUAUCGCACGUCUCGCAGCUGAUACAGCACCUCCAGGACACGCCGACUUCUACGUUGAGAAAUCAUCAGCUGGGUACCGUGGGAAUUCAUCAGCUGGGUACCGUCGAUUUGUCGUGUCUACCCAAGCGAUACCAACAAAAUGUACAAACGGGAGUCGAACGUUUACGGAUCGACACCACGCUGCUGGGGUUUGAUAUGCGGAAAUAGGAGCUACAGUUUUGAAGACCAGUCGGAGUCGGCUACCAUGAUCGACUAAGGAAGCAAUGUCGAAUUUAGAACCCGUCCUCAUGUGUCACCAUGCAGCUUUCGCGGGAUUCCCCGUUAAGACCGAGAUCCUGCUUUUCCACGUAAUGAACGCGAUCCUCUAAUAUUUGGAAACGAGUUCGCGAUAAAAGCGCAGCAGUCUGCAAGAGAGCGAGGAGCGCACCUCCAUUAUCGACAUUAAUAUUACUGUUUCAACGUGCCGACAGAGUACGUGCAUGGUAACGAUGCCUGUAAUAAGAUAAAAUUAUGUAAUAUGUAUAUUAAAUAUUGAAAAAAUAAAAUAAGCAUAGGUACAGUAUUCGUACUGCGUUGUAAACAACCUUUACUAUCGACUUUUCCCCAAUGGCUGAUUAAAUUGGGUUUUAUCCUUUUUCGACUUGAAUUAAGUAUAGUUCUGAUAUUUUCUGCAACUAUACUGAAUUCUGAACGAAAAAGGCAAAAAUCCAAUUUAAUCAACCAUUCGGGGAGCUUUUUCAAUAAAUUUAAUUUACAUCGCUUCCACUACAUCAUGAAAAGUACGUCGAAUUCAUUACAUCGCGAAAAUUACAUCGGAUCUGUUUAUUACAUCAACAGCCGUCGAGUACAUCGGGCUGUGUAAUAUUAAUCGAUCGAUGUAACGACCUGGUUGCAGCGAUUUCGAUGUAAUAUUCAACAACUUUUUUUGCUGUGUGGAGACCCC